AAUAAUUUUAAAAAAAUAAAAAACAAAGAGUAAGUAUCCUAAACUACUCCCACGAUCUGCAUUCCCUAACCCCCUCACUUACCCUAUUCUUCACAUCUCCCCUCAAAAAGCUCCCCCACCAGCCUCGCAUCCCUAACGUCCCAAUCCCCACUUCCCCACUUCCUUACAUAAGUUAUAAAACACACCCACACAUCUAUAUAACGGAGAUUAACAUAAGGGAGGAGGAGAUCGGAGAGUAAGUUGAAACUUGAGAGUUUGGUGAGUAGUAUUUUGUGGGUAAAAUUGUUUAGAGAAAUAGUAGAACAAUUAGUUAGCUUUUACUGGGAUCUUUCUCUUUCAAAAUUUGCUGCUCCUCUGGGUUUCAAACCCCGUUUUUUUUUUGCUGUUGUUGCCUACUCAUUUUUCUGAGUUCGUUGCUGAUUAUUGCUGUUGUACCCUUCCAUCUCUACUAUCUAGAUGGCACCUAAAGCACCUAAAGAUCCUAAUGCAGUUAAAGUACGCAAAGCACAUAAUGCACCUAAAGCACUUAGACUACCUGUAAUACCCCCAAGUCCUUAUGUCCCUUCUCCUUCACCUACAAGACCAGGUCAAAGAUAUUUGAGUUUCGAGAUUGGUUUAACUCUAAGGGUUCCUGGAAGGGGAACCAUGAUUUGAAGAAACUAAUUGCAACUUUCUUGACUCCUACACAACGGGAUAAGCUUCACAAUAGUACAUUUCGAUACAUUAUGCUAUGGAGAAUUUCAAAUGCAGCAUGAAGUUGGUUCAUUGUCUGUGUCUUUCUUGAAUAUUCACGAAUGAUCGAGAUUCGAUUAGUUUCAAGAUUUUUGGCCAUGAUGUUUCCUUCACCCUUGAAGACUUUCACAUUAUGUGUGGUUUUCAGAUCACAUCACAUAAUGUUGAAAAGCCAAUUAAUCGAGAGAGCAAUAUUCUGAAGCGCUAUUUUGGUAAGUCCAAGGGUGUGACUUUGAAGGAUAUUCGAGAUUUUAUGACUCGGAAUAAAAUUUCAAAGAAUGUUGUGAAUCACAUACACGUAUGCGAGAGCGAUGAUGAUGUUGUGAAGCUUGUGGAAAUUCUUGUUGUAGAGUCUAUUUUGUUUGGGAAAAAGACCGAGUCAUAUGUGAUGGAGGAGUAUGCAUCUAUUGUUGAAGAUAAUAAGGUUUGUGUUGAAUAUCCUUGGGGUAAUGUGGCUUAUGAGAAGCUCAUUUACUCACUAAAACAUGCAUUGGACAAGCAGAACAAAUUCCAUGCAACUGAGUAUAAACUUGGUGGAUUUUCUUUUCCGUUAUGUGCUUGGUUCUAUGAGCGCUUUCAGAUAUUUGGGAGAAGUAUAUAAGAGAGGAUGAGUACCUUGAUACCCCUCAGGUUCCCAGGAUGUUACGUUAUGUAUGUGUGGGAGAGCCUAAAUUUCCCGAACUUUUUGAGAUGUUCAGUAGUCAUGAAAAAUAUCGCAGCUUUAGGGUAUUGGAUAUAUAUCCUACAGAAGAGGAAUUGAAUUCAAUGCCUUUAAUUGGCCAAUUACUAUGCAGCCAGAUUCGUUCAAAGGUACUUAACGUGAGUCCUUCAACUGGUGAAUCACCAUGUACUCUGAGUUGAUCAAAAGAAUCGAAUCGAACUCCUGUUAUUGGUGAAUCACCACGUAGUCAGAGUCGAUGAAAAGAAGCGAAUCGAACUCCUUUUAUUGGCGAAUCAUUUCGUACUCAAAAUCGUUCUUACCGUUCUACAAGUGACUUUGAUGACAAUGAAUUACUCGACACAAUAUGUUCUAGAUUAACGAUGGAGGUUCAAAGGCAUGCAGAAAAAGAAAGAAGCACAAUCGUGAAAGAAGUUUUUGAUAAGUUUAAAAAGGAGGAGCGAUUUGCUUUUGUUGAUGCGGUUUUUGUAAAAAUGAAGGAAUAUUUUGAUGAGAAGUUUGAACAGUUGUUUAAGAUUGUCAACAAAUCAAAUGGAAUGGAUGAUGACAUUUUUGAUUUGAGUAACCAUUGAGAAUAUGAUAGGGGGAACGACUGUUACGAACAUCCAUCGGAUAUUAAUGUUGUUGAUGAUGCAUUAGAUAAAGUCGUAGAUGUAAAUGCUACACGUGAGGAAAUGACUUUUGUAGGCAAUCAACAUGUUCAAGAACAAUUUGAAGAGGAACGUCCCAGUGCUGAUAGAUUGAGCAGAGAUGGAAAUGAUGAAGCACAGUAUCAACUGAGAAUAUUGGAAGCAAGCAAGGUGCAUAUAAUCAAGUUGUUGAGACUGAAGAACAUAAUGCUCAUGAUGUAUUGUGUAAAAUCGUAGAUGAUAAUGCUACACAUAAGGAAGUGGCUGCUGAAGUCGGUGAACAUGUUCAACAACAAGGUAUAGAGGAACAAUCCAGUGUUUGUAUAUAGAGCAAAGAUGGAAAUGAUGAAGAGUUAAUAACUGAGAAAGGUUCAGAUGAUCAAGUUGUUGGCACUGAAAAACAUGCACCGAGUUGUCCUUUGGAAAGUGAUAUUGGAAAAGAAAAUUUGUUUGGCAAUGGAGAUCAAGCAACUGUUUGUACUUUAGAACUGAAAGCGAGUGAUGUGUCUAGUACUAUUGGGAAAAACGAUCGGUAUGCAGGAUUACUAGCUAUUUGCAAAGAACUUCUAGGUGGUGAUACACAGGAAAUUGUUACUACAGUGGAAGUUGAGGCUAGUUGUGCUUCAAUUGACACAACUCAAAAACUCUCUGAUGAUGCUGAAUUGAAUGAAGAGGCAUUGACAAAGGCAUGCAGCCUGGGGAAACCACGGCGGAAGACAAACGUCAAGAAAGACUCGAGGCAGCUCAAAAAGAAUUUGGUGAGCUUAUGCAGCUAUAUGAAAAAGGAGAAAUACAUAUAUUCACACUUGUUGCAUCACAGAGAGGUGUGAAGUGUGUUGAUAUUAUUUUAUAAAAUUUAGUCAGUAUUAUUAUUAUUUUUUUGCAUGAAGAUACAGGAUCUGUUGGAAUGUAAACACCAUCUGUGUCGCAACACUUAGACCAGAUCUCAUCUGAUGCAUCAGAACUUCUUCCAAAACCUAAGAGAAGGAAGAUUUCCAGUUCUCCUAUGUGUGACACCAGUGAUAUCCUCAACUUCAAUUUAUGUUCAUUUUCACUUGGUAGUACACAAGGGACUAAUUCAGAAGGUAAUUCUGCUGCUGUUGUUGUUCGUGAAGAGACACAAGAACGUCGUGAACAGCAGGGAGUUGAUCAAGCAUCUGCCACGAUGGCUGUAGUUUUUCCCCUGCUGCUGAACAACAGCAGUUAGCUGUAACGGAACAGCAGGAAGAGCAAGCAAAAGAAAAACCAGAUAAAAAGGAAAAAAGAUUCGUAUGGAGAGUAUUUGGUUGAGAUCUCCUUAUGUAGUUUAUAAAAAAAAAAGCAAAGGGGGCAAGAUUCGAAAGUAGGAAAGAAUACAAGAAGGUGUCCCUUCCAUUAUGUUAAUCAAGACAGUGGAUUGAUCGAAAGAUUUACAGAGUGGUUGGAGAAGGAUGCCAGUGAAUAUGAUUCCAAUCGAUUCAGAUUAGCUGGAUUUGAUAUUGCAAAAUCAUUCUUUACCGAGCUUAUGGAUCCUGACUCUGAUCUUGCGGAUGAACAUAUUGAUGUGGGCAUUUAUUACUUGCGCAAAAAAUAUUGCUAUCACCUUCCACGUUAUCCAAAAUCAAGAUGUGCAGUAACAGAUUUAGUUUUUGAUCAGUAUAUGACUAAGUUGGAUGGUAUUCAUCCUUUAGAAGAAAAGAUGAAGAUAAUUAACAAAAUGAAGCAAAAGAGAAUGCAGGAUCAA
This is a non-coding RNA of Nicotiana tabacum (common tobacco), 3763 nucleotides long. NCBI's taxonomy places the organism in Eukaryota, Viridiplantae, Streptophyta, Magnoliopsida, Solanales, Solanaceae. The record is from RefSeq and is a predicted model, not a curated record.